GAUGAACGCUGGCGGCGUGCCUAAUACAUGCAAGUAGAACGCUGAAGCUUGGUGCUUGCACCGAGCGGAUGAGUUGCGAACGGGUGAGUAACGCGUAGGUAACCUGCUUCUUAGCGGGGGAUAACUAUUGGAAACGAUAGCUAAUACCGCAUAAAAGUCGACAUCGCAUGAUGUUGACUUGAAAGGUGCAAAUGCAUCACUAAGAGAUGGACCUGCGUUGUAUUAGCUAGUUGGUGAGGUAACGGCUCACCAAGGCGACGAUACAUAGCCGACCUGAGGGGGUGAUCGGCCACACUGGGACUGAGACACGGCCCAGACUCCUACGGGAGGCAGCAGUAGGGAAUCUUCGGCAAUGGGGGCAACCCUGACCGAGCAACGCCGCGUGAGUGAAGAAGGUUUUCGGAUCGUAAAGCUCUGUUGUAAGAGAAGAACGAGUGUGAGAGUGGAAAGUUCACACUGUGACGGUAACUUACCAGAGAGGGACGGCUAACUACGUGCCAGCAGCCGCGGUAAUACGUAGGUCCCGAGCGUUAUCCGGAUUUAUUGGGCGUAAAGCGAGCGCAGGCGGUUAGAUAAGUCUGAAGUUAAAGGCUGUGGCUUAACCAUAGUACGCUUUGGAAACUGUUUAACUUGAGUGCAGAAGGGGAGAGUGGAAUUCCAUGUGUAGCGGUGAAAUGCGUAGAUAUAUGGAGGAACACCGGUGGCGAAAGCGGCUCUCUGGUCUGUAACUGACGCUGAGGCUCGAAAGCGUGGGGAGCAAACAGG
Molecule: ribosomal RNA, 765 nt
Filed under: uncultured Streptococcus sp.
Lineage: Bacteria; Bacillati; Bacillota; Bacilli; Lactobacillales; Streptococcaceae
Description: bacterial SSU rRNA
Rfam family: Bacterial small subunit ribosomal RNA
Source: RNAcentral